This 501-nucleotide ribosomal RNA is filed under the name uncultured bacterium. Its description in RNAcentral is "bacterial SSU rRNA". It matches the Rfam family "Bacterial small subunit ribosomal RNA", at positions 1027 to 1533 of the family's 1533-position model. The record is from RNAcentral.
AAGAGUGACAGGUGGUGCAUGGUUGUCGUCAGCUCGUGUCGUGAGAUGUUGGGUUAAGUCCCGCAACGAGCGCAACCCUUAUCUUCAGUAGCCAGCAAUUCGGUUGGGCACUCUGGAGAGACUGCCAGGGAUAACCUGGAGGAAGGUGGGGAUGACGUCAAAUCAUCAUGCCCCUUAUGAUUUGGGCUACACACGUGCUACAAUGGCGUAAACAAAGGGAAGCAGCCCUGUGAAGGUGAGCAAAUCCCAAAAAUAACGUCUCAGUUCGGAUUGUAGUCUGCAACUCGACUACAUGAAGCUGGAAUCGCUAGUAAUCGCGAAUCAGAAUGUCGCGGUGAAUACGUUCCCGGGUCUUGUACACACCGCCCGUCACACCAUGGGAGUCGGAAAUGCCCGAAGUCAGUGACCCAACCGUAAGGAGGGAGCUGCCGAAGGUGGAGCCGGUAACUGGGGUGAAGUCGUAACAAGGUAGUCGUAUCGGAAGGUGCGGUUGGAUCCCUC